CUGCACGCGGCCACCUAACGUAGCUACACACCUGUGACACCCCCACAUCUGCUGCUGCGUCCACACACGGCGAGUAACAACAGAAAUGGCAGUUACAGAUCUUAUCAGGAGCCCAUCUUUUCUAAUCAAAGUUGUUGAACUGGUCUUAUCCAUUAUCAUAGCUGGUCUCACAAGUGGUCAGGCAGUUGCUGCAUAUCCUGACAUUUUCGUGCGUUUAGCGGUUGUCGAUGGGACCAUAGUAUGUUACAUCAUACUAGGUGCUCUAAUCAUCAUCGGCUAUGUACUCGAAUGUCCUAUACACACCAAACUGAUCCUAAUUUCUUCAGCGGUUGCAUGUGUAUUAUUUGUGACAACUGGAGGACUUAUUCUGGAUGCGUACACCCGAUCUUAUUUCAAAGUUACUCAAGUAAUCGUUGGAGGAAUACUAGCCCUUGUUAAUGGACUGGUGUACGCUGCUGAUGCAUUUCUGUCGUGGAAGUUUAGCUAGAUACCCUUCACGCAGUGUUAAUACGUGACAUUACAUGUUCACAGUGUAUAUACUGAAACUAUCUACUGUUCUGUCAACGGAGCAGUUAGUGGGAGUUGCUUGAAAUAACAUCAAAUGAACUAGACUGAAAGCACUGUCAGCUUAAUUUACUGUCUCUGUAGCUAAGACAGAUAUAUGUUUUCAUACAGUUAAAUUUGCGUACACAAUGUGUUGAAUAAGUUAUUAAAAAGUAGUAUUAAGAUUUAUUAUUAAAUAUUGACAUCCAAUAACAUUCACUGUGGUUUCUUCUCUUGCUCUCUCAGAUUAAUUGCAUUGUUAGUGAAGCUUUCUUUACUGAGAAGACUUAAUCUCCUAGAUUUCUUUACAUACUUCUCCUAGCGAUUGCAAUUAGAUUAAUAAUCAUAAUCAGUUUGUAACUGUUGCAUAAUUUCUAUUUACUGACUCUUUUGUACAUUUUUGUCUAGUAAAACUAUGAAAUUGCGAUAAUUUAAAUGUACAGAUAAUUAUCUGAUGAGAUUGUAAUGUUAUAUUCACAGAGAUAAUAAUAUGACAUGUAUAUCACCUCUUAUAGAAUUAUGAGUAUCCAUACAUAGUUUCUAUAAGAAGAUUUCUUGGCCACACAACUAUUUUCCGCUAAUUAAUAAAGAUUUUCUGUAUGUUUCACUUUAAAACACUUUAUAGGUUGUAUAGCGGACUAAAAAGUAGAACUUUUGAACAAAGAGUCACAAUUUUCUCUAUGCUCCCCUGUACUUAAUUCCUAGAAACUGUUGUAACUCAGAAUCUCUUAUGAAAAAGAUUGACCAUUUCUGACAUAGGACUUUGAAGAAGUAAAAAUUUUCUUUUCUCGAGGUGAUCAAAUAAUUGAGGAAGUCGAAGGUCCAGGAGUGAUGGUCUGGGGUGACAUUUCGUUUCAUAGCAGGAAUGCGCUGGUGCAGCGAGUGCCAGAUGGCAUCACGGCAAAACGCGCCUGCUGAAAUCUCAGUAAGGCAACAACUGACAGCCUGCCGUUGCUGGUUCAAUGCAGCUAGUGGCGACGUGUUAAUUCACGGCGAUUUUCCAUGACAAAAUAGCGGCGUCCCUCCCUUGGGACUGAAAAACGGGGGACACCCCACUUGACUGACACCAGUUUUGUUCAGGUCCCGAGGUGGACGAUGAAGUGGGGACCCAAUAAGGGUAUAAUAACAGUAGAUUCGAGAGUUAAAAAUGGGAAAAUAUAUUUCCGAUACUGCAGGCAGCACACCCUAUGGAGGGCAUGCUAAUCUGCCAACUGUAUGGAGAACCAUCACAGGUCGGUUGAGGUUGGCUGAGGUCCAAAAGAAGGCAAGAAGCAGGAGGGACGUAUCUUGCCAGUCUGAAAGCCAAGUCCAGAAAGAGCGAGCGACUUCCGCUUGUACCGAGCGAGGUGGCGCAGUGGUUAGACACUGGACUCGCAUUCGGGAGGACUACGGUUCAAUCCCGCGUCCGGCCAUCCUGAUUUAGG
Molecule: long non-coding RNA, 1967 nt
Filed under: Schistocerca americana (American grasshopper)
Lineage: Eukaryota; Metazoa; Arthropoda; Insecta; Orthoptera; Acrididae
Description: uncharacterized LOC124545445
Source: RNAcentral